GUGGGGAAUAUUGGGCAAUGGGCGCAAGCCUGACCCAGCAACGCCGCGUGAAGGAAGAAGGCUUUCGGGUUGUAAACUUCUUUUCUGAGGGACGAUAGUGACGGUACCUCAGGAAUAAGCCACGGCUAACUACGUGCCAGCAGCCGCGGUAAUACGUAGGUGGCAAGCGUUAUCCGGAUUUACUGGGUGUAAAGGGCGUGUAGGCGGGACUGCAAGUCAGAUGUGAAAACUAUGGGCUCAACCCAUAGCCUGCAUUUGAAACUGUAGUUCUUGAGUGUUGGAGAGGCAGGCGGAAUUCCGUGUGUAGCGGUGAAAUGCGUAGAUAUACGGAGGAACACCAGUGGCGAAGGCGGCCUGCUGGACAAUAACUGACGCUGAGGCGCGAAAGCGUGGGGAGCAAACAGG
Molecule: ribosomal RNA, 405 nt
Filed under: uncultured bacterium
Lineage: Bacteria
Description: bacterial SSU rRNA
Rfam family: Bacterial small subunit ribosomal RNA
Source: RNAcentral